AACGAAGUCGUCCGGCGAAGGAUGGGGAUGCGUCUGAUUAGCUUGCCGGCGGGGUAACGGCCCACCGGGGCGACGAUCAGUAGGGGUUCUGAGAGGAAGGUCCCCCACAUUGGAACUGAGACACGGUCCAAACUCCUACGGGAGGCAGCAG
Molecule: ribosomal RNA, 151 nt
Filed under: uncultured bacterium
Lineage: Bacteria
Description: partial 16S ribosomal RNA
Rfam family: Bacterial small subunit ribosomal RNA
Source: RNAcentral